AGCUUAGAGGUCGCCGGUUCGAGU
Molecule: non-coding RNA, 24 nt
Filed under: Arabidopsis thaliana (thale cress)
Lineage: Eukaryota; Viridiplantae; Streptophyta; Magnoliopsida; Brassicales; Brassicaceae
Source: RNAcentral